AAUGAACGCUGGCGGCAUGCCUAACACAUGCAAGUCGAACGAAGCCUUCGGGCUUAGUGGCGCACGGGUGCGUAACGCGUGGGAAUCUGCCCUUGGGUUCGGAAUAACAGGAAGAAAUUCCUGCUAAUACCGGAUAAUGACGUAAGUCCAAAGAUUUAUCGCCCAACGGAUGAGCCCGCCGUAGGAUUAGCUAGUUGGUGAGGUAAAAGACUCACCAAGGCGACGAUCCUUAGCNGGUCCGAGAGGAUGAUCAGCCACACUGGGACUGAGACACGGUCCAGACACCUACGGGU
Molecule: ribosomal RNA, 293 nt
Filed under: uncultured bacterium
Lineage: Bacteria
Description: partial 16S ribosomal RNA
Rfam family: Bacterial small subunit ribosomal RNA
Source: RNAcentral